RNAcentral lists this ribosomal RNA (963 nucleotides) under Treponema medium. RNAcentral describes it as "bacterial SSU rRNA". It matches the Rfam family "Bacterial small subunit ribosomal RNA", at positions 208 to 1164 of the family's 1533-position model. The record is from RNAcentral. Lineage: Bacteria; Pseudomonadati; Spirochaetota; Spirochaetia; Treponematales; Treponemataceae.
UACGGCUUCGCUUGAGGAUGAGCUUGCGUCCCAUUAGCUAGUUGGUGAGGUAAAGGCCCACCAAGGCGACGAUGGGUAUCCGGCCUGAGAGGGUGAUCGGACACAUUGGGACUGAGAUACGGCCCAAACUCCUACGGGAGGCAGCAGCUAAGAAUAUUCCGCAAUGGACGGAAGUCUGACGGAGCGACGCCGCGUGGAUGAAGAAGGCUGAAAAGUUGUAAAAUCCUUUUGUUGAUGAAGAAUAAGGGUGAGAGGGAAUGCUCAUCUGAUGACGGUAAUCGACGAAUAAGCCCCGGCUAAUUACGUGCCAGCAGCCGCGGUAACACGUAAGGGGCGAGCGUUGUUCGGAAUUAUUGGGCGUAAAGGGCAUGUAGGCGGUUAUGUAAGCCUGAUGUGAAAUCCUGGGGCUUAACCCUAGAAUAGCAUUGGGUACUGUGUAACUUGAAUUACGGAAGGGAAACUGGAAUUCCAAGUGUAGGGGUGGAAUCUGUAGAUAUUUGGAAGAACACCGGUGGCGAAGGCGGGUUUCUGGCCGAUAAUUGACGCUGAGAUGCGAAAGUGUGGGGAUCGAACAGGAUUAGAUACCCUGGUAGUCCACACCGUAAACGAUGUACACUAGGUGUUGGGGCAAGAGCUUCAGUGCCAAAGCAAACGCGAUAAGUGUACCGCCUGGGGAGUAUGCCCGCAAGGGUGAAACUCAAAGGAAUUGACGGGGGCCCGCACAAGCGGUGGAGCAUGUGGUUUAAUUCGAUGGUACGCGAGGAACCUUACCUGGGUUUGACAUCUAGUAGAAGGUCUUAGAGAUAAGGCCGGGUAGCAAUACCCUGCUAGACAGGUGCUGCAUGGCUGUCGUCAGCUCGUGCCGUGAGGUGUUGGGUUAAGUCCCGCAACGAGCGCAACCCCUACUGCCAGUUACUAACAGGUAAAGCUUGAGGACUCUGGCGGAACUGCCGAUGACAAAUC